Molecule: ribosomal RNA, 1216 nt
Filed under: Ophiognomonia rosae
Lineage: Eukaryota; Fungi; Ascomycota; Sordariomycetes; Diaporthales; Gnomoniaceae
Description: eukaryotic LSU rRNA
Rfam family: Eukaryotic large subunit ribosomal RNA
Source: RNAcentral
CUUCGGCCCGAGUUGUAAUUUGCAGAGGAUGUUUAUGGUGCGGUACCUUCCGAGUUCCCUGGAACGGGACGCCACAGAGGGUGAGAGCCCCGUCUGGUUGGAUACCAAACCUGUGUUAAACUCCUUCAACGAGUCGAGUAGUUUGGGAAUGCUGCUCUAAAUGGGAGGUAAAUCUCUUCUAAAGCUAAAUAUUGGCCAGAGACCGAUAGCGCACAAGUAGAGUGAUCGAAAGAUGAAAAGCACCUUGAAAAGGGGGUUAAACAGUACGUGAAAUUGUUGAAAGGGAAGCGUUUAUGACCAGACUUGUGCCGUGUGGCUCAUCCGAGGUUCUCCCCGGUGCACUCCACACGGCUCAGGCCAACAUCGGUUUUCGCUGGGGGAUAAGAACAGUAGGAACGUAGCUCCCCUCGGGGAGUGUUAUAGCCUAUUGUACGAUACCCUGGCGGGGACCGAGGACCGCGCUUCGGCUAGGAUGUUGGCGUAAUGGUCAUUAGCGACCCGUCUUGAAACACGGACCAAGGAGUCGUCCAUUAGAGCGAGCGUUUGGGUGUAAAACCCGCACGCGUAAUGAAAGUGAAAUAAGGUGAGAGCUUCGGCGCAUCAUCGACCGAUCCUGAAGUUUACGGAUGGAUUUGAGUAAGAGUUUUAACGGACGGACCCGAAAGACAGUGAACUAUGCUUGAAUAGGGUGAAGCCAGAGGAAACUCUGGUGGAGGCUCGCAGCGGUUCUGACGUGCAAAUCGAUCGUCAAAUUUGAGCAUGGGGGCGAAAGACUAAUCGAACUGUCUAGUAGCUGGUUACCGCCGAAGUUUCCCUCAGGAUAGCAGUGUUGACCUUCAGUUUUAUGAGGUAAAGCGAAUGAUUAGGGACUCGGGGGCGCUUAUUAGCCUUCAUCCAUUCUCAAACUUUAAAUAUGUAAGAAGCCCUUGUUACUUAAUUGAACGUGGGCAUUCGAAUGUACCAACACUAGUGGGCCAUUUUUGGUAAGCAGAACUGGCGAUGCGGGAUGAACCGAACGGGGGGUUAAGGCGCCAGAAUGUACGCUCAUCAGACACCACAAAAGGCGUUAGUACAUCUUGACAGCAGGACGGUGGCCAUGGAAGUCGGAAUCCGCUAAGGACUGUGUAACAACUCACCUGCCGAAUGUACUAGCCCUGAAAAUGGAUGGCGCUCAAGCGUACUGCCCAUACCCCCCCUUCAGGGUAGAAACGAUGCC